This 301-nucleotide ribosomal RNA is filed under the name uncultured bacterium. RNAcentral's name for it is "partial 16S ribosomal RNA". It matches the Rfam family "Bacterial small subunit ribosomal RNA", at positions 509 to 807 of the family's 1533-position model. The record is from RNAcentral.
CAGUAGCCACGGUAAUACGUAGGGUCCGAGCGUUGUCCGGAAUUACUGGGCGUAAAGCGUGCGCAGGCGGUUAUAUAAGACAGAUGUGAAAUCCCCGGGCUCAACCUGGGAACUGCAUUUGUGACUGUAUAGCUAGAGUACGGCAGAGGGGGAUGGAAUUCCGCGUGUAGCAGUGAAAUGCGUAGAUAUGCGGAGGAACACCGAUGGCGAAGGCAAUCCCCUGGGCCUGUACUGACGCUCAUGCACGAAAGCGUGGGGAGCAAACAGGAUUAGAUACCCCGGUAGUCCCUGUCUCUUAUAC